UNGGCACUACUUUUGUUUGUUUCUGUUGC
Molecule: non-coding RNA, 29 nt
Filed under: Rattus norvegicus (Norway rat)
Lineage: Eukaryota; Metazoa; Chordata; Mammalia; Rodentia; Muridae
Source: RNAcentral